GACGAACGCUGGCGGCGUGCCUAACACAUGCAAGUCGAACGGGGCAGCAAUGCCCAGUGGCGAACGGGUGCGUAACACGUGAGGAACUUGUCCAUCGGCGGGGGAUAGCCGGCCCAACGGCCGGGUAAUACCGCGUACGUCGGCGAGACCGCAUGGUCUUGCCGGGAAAGCAGCAAUGCACCGAUGGAGAGCCUCGCGGCCUAUCAGCUAGUUGGUGAGGUAAUGGCUCACCAAGGCGACGACGGGUAGCUGGUCUGAGAGGAUGAUCAGCCACAUUGGGACUGAGACACGGCCCAGACUCCUACGGAGGCAGCAGUGGGGAAUAUUGCGCAAUGGGCGAAAGCCUGACGCAGCGACGCCGCGUGUGGGAUGACGGCCUCGGUUGGUAACCACUAGUCGCGA
RNAcentral lists this ribosomal RNA (402 nucleotides) under uncultured bacterium. RNAcentral's name for it is "bacterial SSU rRNA". It matches the Rfam family "Bacterial small subunit ribosomal RNA", at positions 28 to 442 of the family's 1533-position model. The record is from RNAcentral.